GGGGUUGUAGCUCAGUGGUAGAGCACUUGCCUAGCAUGUGUGAGGCCCUGGGUUCGAUCCCCAGCACCACA
RNAcentral lists this transfer RNA (71 nucleotides) under Marmota monax (woodchuck). RNAcentral's name for it is "tRNA.Ala". It matches the Rfam family "tRNA". From Rfam's summary of the family: Transfer RNA (tRNA) molecules are approximately 80 nucleotides in length. Their secondary structure includes four short double-helical elements and three loops (D, anti-codon, and T loops). The record is from RNAcentral. Lineage: Eukaryota; Metazoa; Chordata; Mammalia; Rodentia; Sciuridae.